Molecule: microRNA, 19 nt
Filed under: Salmo salar (Atlantic salmon)
Lineage: Eukaryota; Metazoa; Chordata; Actinopteri; Salmoniformes; Salmonidae
Description: ssa-miR-10d-3p
Gene: ssa-miR-10d-3p
Source: miRBase by way of RNAcentral
CAAAUUCGCCUCUACGGGA